RNAcentral lists this ribosomal RNA (370 nucleotides) under Actinomycetota bacterium. RNAcentral describes it as "bacterial SSU rRNA". It matches the Rfam family "Bacterial small subunit ribosomal RNA", at positions 1 to 364 of the family's 1533-position model. The record is from RNAcentral. Lineage: Bacteria; Bacillati; Actinomycetota.
UUGAUGGAGAGUUUGAUCCUGGCUCAGGACGAACGCUGGCGGCGUGCUUAACACAUGCAAGUCGAACGGGGUCCAGUCUGUAGCAAUACAGAGGAAGACCUAGUGGCGAACGGGUGAGGAACACGUGAGGAAUCUGUCCCGAACUCUGGGAUAACAGUUGGAAACGACUGCUAAUACCGGAUGCCGUCAUUGGAUCGCAUGAUUCGAUGACGAAAGAAUUUCGGUUCGGGAGGAUCUCGCGGCCUAUCAGCUUGUUGGUGGGGUAAUGGCCUACCAAGGCAUCGACGGGUAGCUGGUCUGAGAGGAUGAUCAGCCACACUGGGACUGAGACACGGCCCAGACUCCUACGGGAGGCAGCAGUGGGGAAUCU